UACGGAGGGAGCUAGCGUUGUUCGGAAUUACUGGGCGUAAAGCGCGCGUAGGCGGCUUUGUAAGUUAGAGGUGAAAGCCCGGGGCUCAACCCCGGAACUGCCUUUAAGACUGCAUCGCUUGAAUCCGGGAGAGGUGAGUGGAAUUCCGAGUGUAGAGGUGAAAUUCGUAGAUAUUCGGAAGAACACCAGUGGCGAAGGCGGCUCACUGGACCGGUAUUGACGCUGAUGUGCGAAAGCGUGGGGAGCGAACAGG
Molecule: ribosomal RNA, 253 nt
Filed under: uncultured bacterium
Lineage: Bacteria
Description: partial 16S ribosomal RNA
Rfam family: Bacterial small subunit ribosomal RNA
Source: RNAcentral